Molecule: long non-coding RNA, 2320 nt
Organism: Asterias rubens (European starfish)
Lineage: Eukaryota; Metazoa; Echinodermata; Asteroidea; Forcipulatida; Asteriidae
Exons: 3
Source: RefSeq, a predicted model, not a curated record
UAAAAUCGCCUGAAACGCAUGCUCGUUAAUUUUGGUGAAAAAAGUUGUUAGAAAAGUUUUUUUUACCAAAAACUUACAUUUUUUACGCAUUUUUGGUAAAUCAUUUUCUUAAAAUCGCUUGAAACGUACGCUCGUUAAUUUUGGUGCAAAUCGGUGAAAAAAAAAAAAAAUUCUAAGUGCAAAAGUCAUGAAAAUCGAAAAAGAAUUACGAUUUUACAUCACUAAAACGUCCCCAAAAUACUUCUAAACACCUUCACACUGCUUACACCGUUGUAUUACAUCAAUCCAAACAUUUCCUCUUCAAAAUUCAUCCAAAGUGUACAACUUAACUCAAAAAACGGCCUUUAAAUGCAACUUAAUUGGCUUUAACAAUGUGUAUAGGCCUACGACGGUUCAACUUACAAUAACAAUACAGUACACCUAACGCAUUUUCGUACAUCAUUUCCAACUCUUGUACCUUUUUUUACCAAUCCUAAGACAAUUAAAUCAGUUUACAUACAUUGUGAUUCAAAAAUAACUCAUUUUCAACGAAAAAACUCUGAAAACGAACACUUAUUCACGUAUUAUUUUCCCAGUAAAUAUUAAAGGAAAAAAUAGUCAGACACCCAUCACUACCUGUAUUACCACUUCUUAGAGACUGGGAACUAGACAUAGACGGUUGCCAUAUGUAAACAACAUGUCCUGAGCAUUUGAGUACAAAGUACACGAUCUUUGAGCAUCUAAAACUCUACCAAAGGAUCUCUAACUGUUGAAACAAGAACUGGCACCCAAAGCAAACAUUUUGAGGGAGACCGCUAAUAACAAAGGGCUGGAUGACUCGGUUGUGUGCCGGCAUAAUUUAUCCAUGUGUGCUGGCAGAAGGACUUCAGGAGAAGUACUCCAGGCAGAAACUCCUCAGCAAUUAUCUUGAAUUGGCACCGCUAUGAAAAAGCUGAGCUGGAGAGUUCAAUCAACCCCCAAAUUUAUUGGUCUUUGUAGGAAAGUUACACUCGCCAAGAGGAUCGGUUAAGACACAAUACUUGAGUAUGAGUAAUUCCAGCAACACUUUGUAUUGCAGCUUAGCAUUAGUACAAGAAAUAUGGAAAUGGCAAUUUGUUUUGUGCUUUCUGCUCAUAAGUUGGUUGUUGUACGCUUUGCCAGCAAUGGCACAAGUUACUUUAAAUAUUCUUCUGCCAGCACCAAUUAAUAUGUACCUUACAUCAACAGUCUACAUUAAAAGACUGAUUAAUAGUAAAGGUCUGUUUACAAAAUGUAAGACUUCAACAAAUUUACCUCAUUGCUUUUUUGCACACUUUAUUUGUAUUUUAAAACAUUUUCAGAGGAAGUGUGUUUGAGUCUAAAGCACAAUAUUGUAGGGCACCCGGGACUAGCAGAGAACAUGGCCGGGGAUGGAUCGGGGUGAUAGUCCAAGCCACGCCCCGCUACUGCCUUGCCGAGCAGGGGGACUUAUUUGUUGUACGACCCUGGCUUUCCCCUGGGGCCUGGACUACAAUAGGUGCAAACGAUCCAUAUCCCACAGGGCAAUUUAUAGCCAACCACUUUCAGACAAUACCCAAGAAGAAAAGUACAUUUCCAUCUGAGGUUUUACAUGUAGGGUUUGGUGUUCAAAACCAUGUUUGAAAAAAAGUACUUUGAUAUCAAAGUGUUUUGUUUGUGUGCACUGCAGCAUUUGACGACUCAAAGUUGCCGACAAAUUUACUUGUAUGUCAAGGCCAUUUAAGUAUCUUGAUGAUGAAGCCCUGUCAAAGUGUGUAUUUGUAAACAGACCUUUUCACAAUUCAUAAACAAAACAAAAAAAGCCUACCUUAAUAUCCUAGUAUUGAACAGUUUACAGAGUUGAAGUACGAGAAGCUUGUAGUAGAGAGAUGAUGACGUGUUUGAAGUCAUGAUGAAUCUGCAAUCUAAGUGUUCUCAUCAAAGCCCUGGUGCAUCUCCUGUGAGGAAACUGCUGCUCUUCAUCAUCUUAAUGAACCUGUACACAGGAAUAAAAGAAUAACAAAUUGUAUGAAUUAUAAGAGCCAAUGAUCAAAUUUGACAGUCUGUAUCUAAAUUUAACCUUUAUGUUCAAACAAAUAGUGUCUAUUUAUUAUACUGUUUUUAAUCUGUAUAGGCUACAAUGUUAUAACAAUUUCAUAUCCCAAUAGAAACCAGCUAAAUUUAAACCAAUAGUCUCUGAAGUAGAAUCGUUCACAAGUUUAGCCAACUAAUGUCUAUUAAAGUAAAUGGUUUACUUCAGUACCUUUUAAGUUUGUUUUAUGAAAGUGUUUGCUCUUGUGACAGCACUUUUGAUUAUUAAAGUAAAUAAAAAAACUAAAAUGGA